UCCGGUUUGGCACCGGCAGUCCCCCCAGAGUCCUCGGCUUGACCCGGUAGCAACUGGGGGCGGGGGUUGCGCUCGUUGCGGGACUUAACCCAACAUCUCACGACACGAGCUGACGACAACCAUGCACCACCUGUAAACCGACCGCAAGCGGGGCACCUGUUUCCAGGUAUUUCCGGUUCAUGUCAAGCCUUGGUAAGGUUCUUCGCGUUGCAUCGAAUUAAUCCGCAUGCUCCGCCGCUUGUGCGGGCCCCCGUCAAUUCCUUUGAGCUUUAACCUUGCGGCCGUAGUCCCCAGGCGGGGCACUUAAUGCGUUAGCUGCGGCACCGCAGGGGUCAAUACCCGCGACACCUAGUGCCCAUCGUUUACGGCGUGGACUAC
Molecule: unclassified non-coding RNA, 378 nt
Filed under: uncultured bacterium
Lineage: Bacteria
Description: contains 16S-23S intergenic spacer region
Source: RNAcentral